Molecule: transfer RNA, 75 nt
Filed under: Actinomycetes bacterium
Lineage: Bacteria; Bacillati; Actinomycetota; Actinomycetes
Description: Actinobacteria bacterium tRNA-Met
Rfam family: tRNA
About the family: Transfer RNA (tRNA) molecules are approximately 80 nucleotides in length. Their secondary structure includes four short double-helical elements and three loops (D, anti-codon, and T loops).
Source: RNAcentral
GGGCCGGUAGCUCAGCGGUAGAGCAGCGGACUCAUAAUCCGUCGCGCCCUGGUUCGAAUCCAGGCCGGCCCAUCA